Molecule: ribosomal RNA, 772 nt
Filed under: Halomonas sp. M3E-4
Lineage: Bacteria; Pseudomonadati; Pseudomonadota; Gammaproteobacteria; Oceanospirillales; Halomonadaceae
Description: bacterial SSU rRNA
Rfam family: Bacterial small subunit ribosomal RNA
Source: RNAcentral
UCGAGCGGUAACAGGGGUAGCUUGCUACCCGCUGACGAGCGGCGGACGGGUGAGUAAUGCAUAGGAAUUUACCCGAUAGUGGGGGAUAACCUGGGGAAACCCAGGCUAAUACCGCAUACGUCCUACGGGAGAAAGGGGGCUUUGGCUCCCGCUAUCGGAUGAGCCUAUGCCGGAUUAGCUGGUUGGUGAGGUAAUGGCUCACCAAGGCGACGAUCCGUAGCUGGUCUGAGAGGAUGAUCAGCCACAUCGGGACUGAGACACGGCCCGAACUCCUACGGGAGGCAGCAGUGGGGAAUAUUGGACAAUGGGCGCAAGCCUGAUCCAGCCAUGCCGCGUGUGUGAAGAAGGCCCUCGGGUUGUAAAGCACUUUCAGCGAGGAAGAACGCCUGGCGGUUAAUACCCGCCAGGAAAGACAUCACUCGCAGAAGAAGCACCGGCUAACUCCGUGCCAGCAGCCGCGGUAAUACGGAGGGUGCAAGCGUUAAUCGGAAUUACUGGGCGUAAAGCGCGCGUAGGUGGCUUGAUAAGCCGGUUGUGAAAGCCCCGGGCUCAACCUGGGAACGGCAUCCGGAACUGUCAGGCUAGAGUGCAGGAGAGGAAGGUAGAAUUCCCGGUGUAGCGGUGAAAUGCGUAGAGAUCGGGAGGAAUACCAGUGGCGAAGGCGGCCUUCUGGACUGACACUGACACUGAGGUGCGAAAGCGUGGGUAGCAAACAGGAUUAGAUACCCUGGUAGUCCACGCCGUAAACGAUGUCGACCAGCCGUUGGGUGCC